RNAcentral lists this ribosomal RNA (494 nucleotides) under uncultured bacterium. RNAcentral describes it as "partial 16S ribosomal RNA". It matches the Rfam family "Bacterial small subunit ribosomal RNA", at positions 28 to 507 of the family's 1533-position model. The record is from RNAcentral.
GACGAACGCUGGCGGCGUGCUUAACACAUGCAAGUCGAACGGUGAAGCGCCUUCCUUUUUGGUGGGUGUGGAUGAGUGGCGAACGGGUGAGUAACACGUGAGUAACCUGCCCCCUUCUUCUGGAUAACCGCAUGAAAGUGUGGCUAAUACGGGAUAUUCUGGGUCUGUCGCAUGAUGGGUCUGGGAAAGAUAUUGUUUCGGUGGGGGAUGGGCUCGCGGCCUAUCAGCUUGUUGGUGGGGUGAUGGCCUACCAAGGCGGUGACGGGUAGCCGGCCUGAGAGGGUGUACGGUCACACUGGGACUGAGACACGGCCCAGACUCCUACGGGAGGCAGCAGUGGGGAGUAUUGCACAAUGGGCGCAAGCCUGAUGCAGCGACGCCGCGUGAGGGAUGGAGGCCUUCGGGUUGUGAACCUCUUUCGCCAGUGAAGCAGGCCUGCCUCGUUUGUGGGUGGGUUGACGGUAGCUGGAUAAGAAGCGCCGGCUAACUACGUG